UCCUACGGGAGGCAGCAGUGGGGAAUCUUGCACAAUGGAGGAAACUCUGAUGCAGCGAUGCCGCGUGAGUGAAGAAGGCCUUUGGGUUGUAAAGCUCUUUCGUCGGGGAAGAAAAUGACUGUACCCGAAUAAGAAGGUCCGGCUAACUUCGUGCCAGCAGCCGCGGUAAUA
This 171-nucleotide ribosomal RNA is filed under the name uncultured Alphaproteobacteria bacterium. Its description in RNAcentral is "partial 16S ribosomal RNA". It matches the Rfam family "Bacterial small subunit ribosomal RNA", at positions 337 to 525 of the family's 1533-position model. The record is from RNAcentral. Lineage: Bacteria; Pseudomonadati; Pseudomonadota; Alphaproteobacteria.